UUUAAAGAGACUGCCGGUGUUAAACCGGAGGAAGUGGGGAUGACGUCAAGUCCUCAUGGCCCUUAUAGUGGGGCUACACACGUCAUACAAUGGCCGGUACAGAGGGUAGCCAACCCGCAGGGGGAGCCAAUCCCAGAAAGCCGGUCUCAGUUCGGAUUGGGGUCUGCAACUCGACCCCAUGAAGUCGGAAGUCGCUAGUAAUCGCAGAUCAGCAACGCUGCGGUCGAAUACGUUCCCGGGCCUU
RNAcentral lists this ribosomal RNA (244 nucleotides) under uncultured Nocardioides sp. Its description in RNAcentral is "partial 16S ribosomal RNA". It matches the Rfam family "Bacterial small subunit ribosomal RNA", at positions 1139 to 1382 of the family's 1533-position model. Lineage: Bacteria; Bacillati; Actinomycetota; Actinomycetes; Propionibacteriales; Nocardioidaceae. The record is from RNAcentral.